Phacochoerus africanus (Common warthog) is the source of this 1225-nucleotide long non-coding RNA. RefSeq lists it as uncharacterized. The transcript is spliced from 3 exons. NCBI's taxonomy places the organism in Eukaryota, Metazoa, Chordata, Mammalia, Artiodactyla, Suidae. The record is from RefSeq and is a predicted model, not a curated record.
UGCUCCUCAGAUUUGUUUCUGCUGAGCCACAAUGGGAACUCCUGAUAUUAUGCUCUUAUAGGACCAGGUAAUCUGGCUGAAGUCCAGCCUCUGCUAUUCUACUGCCCAGAGGCUGGGGACACUUUGUAAUUCUGGAUAGGCCUGACUUUGGGCAGAAAAGUUCUGCAAAGUCAAUGUAGUCCAUCUAGUCACCUGACAUCUGUGUCUCUGAAUCCAGGGAAGGGAAACUCACUACUUCCCAAGGCAGCCUAAUCUGUUCCAUGACCAAAUAAGAAAGUUGCAUUUUCAAAGAAAACAUUCAUGUAUUUGGUCAUGGUGACUGUUUGCUUAGCAAACUAUCCUUCCAUGAAUCAUGGUUAUUUGAACUUUCAGUAGCCCUAGGUCACUUCACCCCAUCAAAGUCUUUGCAAGAGAAAGGGCUUUAGAGGCAUCAGAAUGUUAGAUUAUUUAUUCUUUUAAAAUUUACAAAUGUGGAGGUAAAAAUGUGUUUAUAGUGCAUGGAUCUAUCCUUAUCAGCCUUAUCAUCAUGUGUAAUAAUAAUAGCUCAUACUUCUAGAGAAUUACUGUGUGCCAGGCAUUAUUCUAAGAAUUUUGCAUAUAUUAAACCACGAAAGUGUGAUAUCUCUAAACUUCUCCUAUUUCCUUCCCUAUAGGGGUCCAGAAUUUGAUAACACAUCAACAAAAGAAGAAAUCUAUGUCAUCCAGCCCAAUCUUCAACAUUCUCUAUGAGUCCCAGAAAGGGUGUGUGCCUUACCUUAGGUCACACAGCUACUAAUGGUCGAGUGAAUCUCAAGCACUUAACAAUAUCAAGCUCGCUGUUCAAAGCCAGCAUCAAGAACGAUAUUUUAGGAACCUGAGAUUCUUUUUCAUAAAAACCUGCCUUGAUUUGCUCUACAUGGGGCUACUACUCUGCCACAAGGUGCCCAAAUCACCUUUCCUACCUUGUUAUCUUUUAAACAGAUCCCUGGAGAGAUGCCCUUUCAACCUUCCAUCUCUGCUAAAUGCCUUUUGGAUCCCAGCAGUGGACUCCACUGGAUGGGUGGAUUGACUCAGAGCAGACUGUUACUGAGGCCUAUUAGGGUUGGUGAAAAGCAUUCUAGCCAAAGCCUCCAGAGAGACGGUGCCUGGAGCAUACACACAGAGAGACACUGGGAAAAUACCCUUGUGCUGGAGCGACAGGGUGAAAACAUCUGUGUUCCUGAGCUGCUUAAGAAGAUAAAGUUAA